This 520-nucleotide ribosomal RNA is filed under the name uncultured Glomus. RNAcentral's name for it is "SSU rRNA". It matches the Rfam family "Eukaryotic small subunit ribosomal RNA", at positions 569 to 1088 of the family's 1831-position model. The record is from RNAcentral. Lineage: Eukaryota; Fungi; Glomeromycota; Glomeromycetes; Glomerales; Glomeraceae.
AGCAGCCGCGGUAAUUCCAGCUCCAAUAGCGUAUAUUAAAGUUGUUGCAGUUAAAAAGCUCGUAGUUGAAUUUCGGGGUUAGUAGGUUGGUCGUGCCACUGGUACGUACUGGUCUCACUGAUUCCUCCUUCCUGAUGAACUGUAAUGCCAUUAAUUUGGUGUUGCAGGGAAACUGGACUGUUACUUUGAAAAAAUUUAGAGUGUUUAAAGCAAGCUAACGCUUGAAUACAUUAGCAUGGAAUAAUGAAAUAGGACGUUCGAUCCUAUUUUGUUGGUUUCUAGGAUUGACGUAAUGAUUAAUAGGGAUAGUUGGGGGCAUUAGUAUUCAAUUGUCAGAGGUGAAAUUCUUGGAUUUAUUGAAGACUAACUACUGCGAAAGCAUUUGCCAAGGAUGUUUUCAUUAAUCAAGAACGAAAGUUAGGGGAUCGAAGACGAUCAGAUACCGUCGUAGUCUUAACCAUAAACUAUGCCGACUAGGGAUCGGAUGAUGUUAAUUUUUUUAAUGACUCGUUUGGCACCU